CGAGACCUCAGGUCAGGCGGGGCUACCCGCUGAGUUAAAGCCCAUAUCAAAA
RNAcentral lists this ribosomal RNA (52 nucleotides) under Oxytropis kansuensis. Its description in RNAcentral is "partial 28S ribosomal RNA". The record is from RNAcentral. Lineage: Eukaryota; Viridiplantae; Streptophyta; Magnoliopsida; Fabales; Fabaceae.